Non-coding RNA from Schistocephalus solidus, 83 nucleotides. NCBI's taxonomy places the organism in Eukaryota, Metazoa, Platyhelminthes, Cestoda, Diphyllobothriidea, Diphyllobothriidae. The record is from Rfam.
GGCCUUGUAGUUCAGUUGACUAGAGCGUUGGCUGUAUUUAAGCUUUCCCCUUUCUGGCGUGGGUUCGAAACCCACCAAAGCCA